This 252-nucleotide ribosomal RNA is filed under the name uncultured bacterium. RNAcentral's name for it is "partial 16S ribosomal RNA". It matches the Rfam family "Bacterial small subunit ribosomal RNA", at positions 524 to 776 of the family's 1533-position model. The record is from RNAcentral.
UACGUAGGGGGCAAGCGUUGUCCGGAAUUAUUGGGCGUAAAGGGCACGCAGGCGGUGGUUUAAGUUUGGUGUUUAAGCCCAGGGCUCAACCCUGGUACGCACUGAAAACUGGAUCACUUGAGUGCAGAAGAGGAGAGUGGAAUUCCACGUGUAGCGGUGAAAUGCGUAGAUAUGUGGAGGAACACCAGUGGCGAAGGCGACUCUCUGGUCUGUAACUGACGCUGAGGUGCGAAAGCGUGGGUAGCAAACAGG